This 433-nucleotide ribosomal RNA is filed under the name uncultured bacterium. RNAcentral's name for it is "partial 16S ribosomal RNA". It matches the Rfam family "Bacterial small subunit ribosomal RNA", at positions 29 to 507 of the family's 1533-position model. The record is from RNAcentral.
AACGAACGCUGGCGGCAUGCCUAACACAUGCAAGUCGAACGAGACCUUCGGGUCUAGUGGCGCACGGGUGCGUAACGCGUGGGAAUCUGCCCUUGGGUUCGGAAUAACAGUUGGAAACGACUGCUAAUACCGGAUGAUGACGUAAGUCCAAAGAUUUAUCGCCCAGGGAUGAGCCCGCGUAGGAUUAGCUAGUUGGUGGGGUAAAGGCCUACCAAGGCGACGAUCCUUAGCUGGUCUGAGAGGAUGAUCAGCCACACUGGGACUGAGACACGGCCCAGACUCCUACGGGAGGCAGCAGUGGGGAAUAUUGGACAAUGGGCGGAAGCCUGAUCCAGCAAUGCCGCGUGAGUGAUGAAGGCCUUAGGGUUGUAAAGCUCUUUUACCCGGGAUGAUAAUGACAGUACCGGGAGAAUAAGCCCCGGCUAACUCCGUG